GUAGGUGGCAAGCGUUGUCCGGAAUUAUUGGGCGUAAAGCGCGCGCAGGCGGUUCGUUUAAGUCUGAUGUGAAAGCCCACGGGCUCAACCUGGAGGGUCAUUGGAAACUGGAGAACUUGAGUACAGAAGAGGAAAGCGGAAUUCCACGUGUAGCGGUGAAAUGCGUAGAGAUGUGGAGGAACACCAGUGGCGAAGGCGGCUUUCUGGUCUGUAACUGACGCUGAGGCGCGAAAGCGUGGGGAGCAAACAGGAUUAGAUACCCUGGUAGUCCACGCCGUAAACGAUGAGUGCUAAGUGUUAGGGGGGUUUCCGCCCCCUUAGUGCUGCAGCUAACGCAUUAAGCACUCCGCCUGGGGAGUACGGCCGCAAGGCUG
This 374-nucleotide ribosomal RNA is filed under the name uncultured organism. Its description in RNAcentral is "partial 16S ribosomal RNA". It matches the Rfam family "Bacterial small subunit ribosomal RNA", at positions 527 to 896 of the family's 1533-position model. The record is from RNAcentral.